UCUCCGUAGGUGAACCUGCGGAGGGAUCAUUACAGAGUUCUCGCCCUCGCGGGUAGAUGUCCCACCCGCUGUUAUCGUUACUGUGUUGCUUUGGCGGGCCGCCGGGCCCCGCUCGGCCGCCGGCUCCGGCUGGCGCGCGCCCGCCAGAGGCCCAGCAAACUCUGAAUGUUAGUGUCGUCUGAGUACUAUAUAAUAGUUAAAACUUUCAACAACGGAUCUCUUGGUUCUG
This 229-nucleotide unclassified non-coding RNA is filed under the name plant metagenome. Its description in RNAcentral is "partial contains small subunit ribosomal RNA, internal transcribed spacer 1, and 5.8S ribosomal RNA". The record is from RNAcentral.